This 484-nucleotide ribosomal RNA is filed under the name uncultured bacterium. RNAcentral's name for it is "partial 16S ribosomal RNA". It matches the Rfam family "Bacterial small subunit ribosomal RNA", at positions 29 to 507 of the family's 1533-position model. The record is from RNAcentral.
AUUGAACGCUGGCGGCAUGCUUUACACAUGCAAGUCGAACGGCAGCGCGGGCUUCGGCCUGGCGGCGAGUGGCGAACGGGUGAGUAAUGCAUCGGAACGUGCCCAGUAGUGGGGGAUAGCCCGGCGAAAGCCGGAUUAAUACCGCAUACGACCUGAGGGUGAAAGCGGGGGACCGAAAGGCCUCGCGCUAUUGGAGCGGCCGAUGUCGGAUUAGCUAGUUGGUGGGGUAAAGGCUUACCAAGGCGACGAUCCGUAGCUGGUCUGAGAAGACGACCAGCCACACUGGGACUGAGACACGGCCCAGACUCCUACGGGAGGCAGCAGUGGGGAAUUUUGGACAAUGGGGGCAAGCCUGAUCCAGCCAUGCCGCGUGCGGGAAGAAGGCCUUCGGGUUGUAAACCGCUUUUGUUCGGGAAGAAAACCUCUGGGAUAAUACCCCGGGGGGAUGACGGUACCGAAAGAAUAAGCACCGGCUAACUACGUG